GGUAUUACCUGGCAGGAGAGCUGUCGUGAUCAUGGAAGUCCCUCUCUAGGCGUGAGGCUUAUCCCUUGCUCUCCAGAUGUGCUAACCCUGUGAUUUCUCCAGCAGUGAGAAACUCAACUACAUAUUUUGUGGUAGUGGGAAACAAUGGUCACUCUCUUCCCU
Small nuclear RNA from Peromyscus maniculatus bairdii (prairie deer mouse), 162 nucleotides. Its record names the gene U1. It matches the Rfam family "U1 spliceosomal RNA". Rfam says of the family: U1 is a small nuclear RNA (snRNA) component of the spliceosome (involved in pre-mRNA splicing). Lineage: Eukaryota; Metazoa; Chordata; Mammalia; Rodentia; Cricetidae. The record is from Ensembl.